AAAGGAAUUGACGGGGGCCCGCACAAGCGGAGGAACAUGCGGUUUAAUUCGAUGAUACGCGAGGAACCUUACCCGGGCUUGAACUGCGGCGGAACGAUUCCGAGAGGAUGAGGCCCUUCGGGGCUGCCGCGGAGGUGCUGCAUGGUUGUCGUCAGCUCGUGCCGUGAGGUGUCGGCUUAAGUGCCAUAACGAGCGCAACCCCCGUCUUCAGUUGCCAUCGGGUUAUGCCGGGCACUCUGGAGAUACUGCCACCGCAAGGUGUGAGGAAGGUGGGGACGACGUCAAAUCAGCACGGCCCUUACGUCCGGGGCUACACACGUGUUACAAUGGCGCAUACAGAGAGUAGGUGGCAUGCGAGUGCCAUCCAAUCCUUAAAGUGCGUCUCAGUUCGGACUGGGGUCUGCAACCCGACCCCACGAAGCUGGAUUCGCUAGUAAUCGCGCAUCAGCCAUGGCGCGGUGAAUACGUUCCCGGGCCUUGUACACACCGCCCGUCAAGCCAUGAAAGCCGGGGGCGCCUGAAGUCCGUGACCGCGAGGGUCGGCCUAGGGAAAGCCCCGUUGGU
This 564-nucleotide ribosomal RNA is filed under the name uncultured bacterium. RNAcentral's name for it is "bacterial SSU rRNA". It matches the Rfam family "Bacterial small subunit ribosomal RNA", at positions 903 to 1475 of the family's 1533-position model. The record is from RNAcentral.